RNAcentral lists this microRNA precursor (200 nucleotides) under Dichanthelium oligosanthes. RNAcentral's name for it is "MIR1435 microRNA precursor family". It matches the Rfam family "MIR1435 microRNA precursor family". The record is from Rfam by way of RNAcentral. Lineage: Eukaryota; Viridiplantae; Streptophyta; Magnoliopsida; Poales; Poaceae.
UUGGUUUGUCUGAAGUUAAACUUGCUAAACUUUAACCAUAUUUACAGAAAAAUAUAAUAACAACCAUGCUACCAAACAUAUGCACUAUCAAAAUAUAUUCUAUGGUAGGUUCAAUGAAACAAAUUUGGUAUUAUAAAUAUUGUUAUAUUUUUCUAUAAAUAUGGUCAAAUUUUAGCAAGUUUGACUUCAGACAAACUAAA